RNAcentral lists this unclassified non-coding RNA (215 nucleotides) under Glomus sp. RNAcentral's name for it is "partial contains 5.8S ribosomal RNA and internal transcribed spacer 2". The stretch from base 1 to 65 matches the Rfam family "5.8S ribosomal RNA", at positions 84 to 154 of the family's 154-position model. Lineage: Eukaryota; Fungi; Glomeromycota; Glomeromycetes; Glomerales; Glomeraceae. The record is from RNAcentral.
GUGAAUCAACGAAUUUUUGAACGCAAAUUGCACUCUCUUCGGAGAGUAUGCCUGUUUGAGGGUCAGACUCAAAAAAAUCGACAUAGUCGCUGUUUCGCGGUGACAUUCGUCGGAAAUUGGGUUAUCUUCAACCUUUGGGUCUUACGCGGCUUAAAAUUUUCUUUACGAUUCUAUGAACGUCUUUAAGAUUUACUUCUUACACGUUUACGGUAAUC